GACAGAGGCCCCAAGCGUUGUCCGGAAUCACUGGGCGUAAAGGGCGCGUAGGUGGCGUCGCAAGUCGAUGGUGAAAGCUCGUCGCUCAACGACGAGUCGGCCAUUGAUACUGCGAGGCUGGAGCACUGUAGAGGCAGAUGGAAUUCCGGGUGUAGCGGUGGAAUGCGUAGAGAGUCCGGAAGAACGACCGGUGGCGAGGCGGUCUGACUGGGGCAGUUGCUGG
This 223-nucleotide ribosomal RNA is filed under the name uncultured bacterium. RNAcentral's name for it is "partial 16S ribosomal RNA". It matches the Rfam family "Bacterial small subunit ribosomal RNA", at positions 524 to 743 of the family's 1533-position model. The record is from RNAcentral.